RNAcentral lists this ribosomal RNA (432 nucleotides) under Globigerina bulloides. Its description in RNAcentral is "partial 18S ribosomal RNA". It matches the Rfam family "Eukaryotic small subunit ribosomal RNA", at positions 1210 to 1458 of the family's 1831-position model. Lineage: Eukaryota; Foraminifera; Rotaliida; Globigerinidae. The record is from RNAcentral.
AAAAGCUUAUCUGGUCCGGACACAGUGAGGAUUGACAGACAGUUGGCAGGAGUGGUUCUUGGUAAAAACAAAUGAGAGAGUUGAAGUUCUUUCAUGAUCUUGUGAGAGGUGGUGCAUGGCCGUUCUUAGUUCGUGUAGUGAUAUGUCUGCCUAAUCGCGUCACGAUAACCUAUUGGUCGACAACCCAAUUAUCACAACUGCAGCAUAACUCCCCUUGGGUGGGCGAGGCUCUGUGUAGGAUAGACCUCUGAACAGUACGCAACGAACGCGAUCGUAAUCCCUUGUUGAGUGGCCAUCCUGUAAGCUGCUGGAUUUGAAACCCAGUGGUAUUAUCUCAGCCACAGAUUUUCUGGUUGUAAUGGGCCAGUUUUGAAACUCGGGGAACAUCUGUGACUUUCUUUCUUAACGCAGAGGAAGGUUAUGGCAAUAACA